UAUAAGUAAAAUGUCUAGACUACAGAUUGUGAGACAUUCACAGGAUUAUAAUUUCGAGACCAAAUAGCCCUAUACAACUCUGUAGCCAUUACUACCAAGGACACUGGUGGAGCCAGCCCCAAACCAAGUAACUAUGGUAACAAAGCCAGCCAAGGUACCGCUAGUCGUGGUCAAGGUACCACUAGUCGUGGUCAAGGUACUGAUAGUCAUGGUCAAGGUACACUAGUCGUGGUCAAGGUACUGAUAGUGUUGGUCAAGGUACCACUAGUUGUGGCCAUACUACCGCUAAUCGUGGUCGAGGUACUGAUAGUCGUGGUCAAGUUACUGAUAGUCAUGGUCAAGGUAUCGUUAGCCGUGGUCAAGGUACUGAUAGUCAUGGUCAAGGUACUGAUAGUCGUGGUCAAGGUACACUAGUCGUGGUCAAGGUACUGAUAGUGUUGGUCAAGGUACCACUAGUUGUGGCCAUAUUACCGCUAAUCGUGGUCGAGGUACUGAUAGUCGUGGUCAAGUUACUGAUAGUCAUGGUCAAGGUACUGAUAGUCAUGGUCAAGGUACUGAUAGUCGAGGUCAAGGUACACUAGUCGUGGUCAAGGUACUGAUAAUCGUGGUCAAGGUACUGCUUGUCAUGGUCCAGGUACUGAUAAUCGGGGUCAAGUUACUGAUAGUCAUGGUCAAGGUACUGAUAGUCGUGGUCAAUGUACCUAUAGUUGUGGUCAAGGUACUGAUAGUCGUGGUCAAGGUACUGCUAGUCAUGGUCCAGGUUCCGCUAGUUGUGGUCAAGUUACUGAUAGUCGUGGUCAAGGUACCGCAAGUUGUGGUCAAGUUACUGAUAGUUGUGGUCAAGGUACCGCAAGUUGUGGUCAAGUUACUGUUAGUCGUGGUCCAGGUACCCCUAAUUGUGGUCAAGUUACUGAUAGUCAUGGUCAAGGUACUAAUUGUUGUGGUCCAGGUACCGCUAGUCAUGGUCAAGGUACUAAUAGUCGUGGUCCAGGAACCGCUAGUCAUGGUCCAGGUAUCCCUAGUUGAGGUCCAGGUACCGCUAGUCGUGGUCAAGGUACCGCUAGUCGUGGUCAAGGUACCGCUAGUCGUGGUCAAGGUACCACUAGU
RNAcentral lists this unclassified non-coding RNA (1107 nucleotides) under Mizuhopecten yessoensis (Yesso scallop). RNAcentral's name for it is "uncharacterized LOC110464111, transcript variant X1". The record is from RNAcentral. Lineage: Eukaryota; Metazoa; Mollusca; Bivalvia; Pectinida; Pectinidae.